AUAAUAAUUAAUAAAUAAUAAUAGUUUUUGUUUACAUUCACAAAUCCAAUAUCUACUACCACCGUUUGCAAGAAUGUUAUCAACCCAAGCUGGGGUUAGUUUGUUUAUUUUUCAUUCGUUUUUGGAGUAAUGUUUUGACUCCUUGGCUCUGAAAUUAAGCCACAAAAAAAAAAAGCUACCAUUCCAUAAAGAAACCUACUCCACAAUUCCACGGCUCGCAAUACUCCCACAAACACUGGGGCUCUCCUCCUACUGUGCUCUUGCUGCAGUGCAGACUGCUGCCACCUGCCCUCAAAGAAGAAAUAUUACAGUUCACGUUUGGAAGACAUCUCACCACACUAUGGAUUUAAUCCUGGUUAAGUAUGUUGCCUGUGGCACCCUUAAACACGUGAGUGGCUUAUCAAUUUUCCCCUACUCACCUUCCAUCAUUCCAUUAAUUAUUUCUUCUAAUUUAUAUCCCUCUCUCUUUUUUUGCAGUUGCAAUUUACUGACGUCAUGUCUCACAUGCAUGCCUAACAUUGGACCUGGAUGUGGAUGAGGAGGAAGCAAAUAGAAAAACACAUGAGGUUUUUUCAGCACUUCAUAGUUUUUUGACAUCGAAAUAAUUUCUUCUAUGCCAUUGUCAGUGUAUCACCUCCACACUUCCCAGAGCUACAAAUCUAAACUCAUGCUUUAUCUUGGCCCUGGUAUUUUGAUUCCAUUCUGACCACCAGGGAUCUGAAUGCUGCUCAGCUCCAUGCAAGAUAACAUAUUUAUCAGCAUAUGACACGCACAUUUAACUCCUGAAAAGCUUUCUGUUAAAGACGGAAGAAAGAGUGAAGAUAAUGUUGAAGAUAAAGUUCUUAAAGGGUCCCAGUAGGUUGCAGUUUGCGCAGUCCUCCUUGAUAUAUCAAUCCCCCUUCAAAUCACAGUGUCCCUUUCACAGUCACGUUCUAAAGGUAUGAGGUGUCAUUUUUGUACGAAUUUUUAAAUUGAACUUUUAGGUGUAUUACAUGAAAAUGCCUAUGUGUAAAUAGGGUACAUGAUGAUAAUGGAGUUAGUGCUGUGUCCUGUUUCUUCCCAGAUCAUGCACUUACCCUGAGGAGGAGCAAUGGUCCUGCCAGAAGCCGAUGCUGGAGGGUCUUGAAUGCAGCUUUCUGUUAAAGACGGAAGAAAGAGUGAAGAGUCAAGCUCUAUGAUUUUGACCCCUGCUGCUGAAUCCAGGGACAUCCUCUGCCAGAAGGACAUCUCUUAGCUCCGCCUCCCACUCUCGCAACUUGAUAGGCUUUCCUCGGUUUUGUCCUAGUCGAAGCCUCUGCAUCUUCUUUGUAACCGUUGCCCGACAAUCAUAGAACCUGCAAAUGUACAUAAACAUUACAAUUACAUUAAUAAAAAAACAAAUACUUAGAU
This is a long non-coding RNA of Rana temporaria (common frog), 1389 nucleotides long. RefSeq lists it as uncharacterized. The transcript has 5 exons. Lineage: Eukaryota; Metazoa; Chordata; Amphibia; Anura; Ranidae. The record is from RefSeq and is a predicted model, not a curated record.